This 403-nucleotide ribosomal RNA is filed under the name uncultured bacterium. Its description in RNAcentral is "bacterial SSU rRNA". It matches the Rfam family "Bacterial small subunit ribosomal RNA", at positions 355 to 775 of the family's 1533-position model. The record is from RNAcentral.
UGGGGAAUCUUAGACAAUGGGGGCAACCCUGAUCUAGCCAUGCCGCGUGGAUGAUGAAGGCCUUAGGGUCGUAAAGUCCUUUCGCCGGGGAAGAUAAUGACGGUACCCGGUAAAGAAGCCCCGGCUAACUCCGUGCCAGCAGCCGCGGUAAUACGGAGGGGGCUAGCGUUGUUCGGAAUGACUGGGCGUAAAGCGCGCGUAGGCGGAUCGGAUAGUUGGGGGUGAAAGCCCAGGGCUCAACCCUGGAAUGGCCUUCAAAACUCCCGAUCUAGAGUUCGAGAGAGGUGAGUGGAAUUCCGAGUGUAGAGGUGAAAUUCGUAGAUAUUCGGAGGAACACCAGUGGCGAAGGCGGCUCACUGGCUCGACACUGACGCUGAGGUGCGAAAGCGUGGGGAGCAAACAG